RNAcentral lists this long non-coding RNA (1077 nucleotides) under Salmo trutta (river trout). RNAcentral describes it as "lncRNA (ENSSTUG00000049846.1)". Lineage: Eukaryota; Metazoa; Chordata; Actinopteri; Salmoniformes; Salmonidae. The record is from RNAcentral.
AUGCAGAGAGCUGAGAGAGAGGCCAUGGAAGCAAAGCAAAGAAAGAUAAGUGCUAUCCAUGAGAAUUAUGUCCGGACUGCUCUCAUCGGGGUUGGCAGCACCUUCGCGCACCACUUCGUCCCCUCUAUUCAGUGCAUUCCGCGGCCGAAAGCUCCACCGAGGCCUUUGCCACGAAGGCUUGAACACAUAGCUCUGGCCCCACUGAAGAACGUGGUGGGGGUGGACGGAGCUCAAGUUCGACCCGGAUCUCACUCUCUGGAGUCCAUCCAGGUGAAUAAGUCAUUCAGCAGCAGUAGCGUGCGGCCUGUUCCCGUCCCUCCCACUGGAGCUCCCUCCAAGAGGGGCAAGAAGAAGAAGGAGGGCAGGCGGGGAGUCAAAGCCCUGAAAGUCCAGUUGGACCAGGGCUGUGCUGACAACAACGGACCCAUUGACCUGAUGGAGGAGGUGAGGGACAUCGAGGCUCACCUGAAGGAGGAGGCCUGGAAGGUGGUACAUGAGGUGAAGGCCAUGGGCAGGAGAAGUUUGGGCUCGGCCAUGUCCAUGGGGGAAAUAGCCACCAGCUCUCUGGGAAGCCUGAGCUCAGUGGAUAUGAACACCCCUGCGGAGCUCCGUGACUACUUGGAUGUUGGGACCCCGGUAAAGUCGCGUGACAGCCCACCCAGGCCUGCUCCCCCUCCUACCAAGCCCAGGAGCAAACUGCCUCGGCCUACAAGGUUCCUUAGCCUUCAAAAGGCUGAUACCGGCUCAGACAAGAAGGCAGCCAGUGAGCCAAAGGGCCAAAUAAAGAAAGGUCAGGACCAGGCCAGAUUGCAGCCCCUGUCCAACCCAGAGCAGGCCCUGACUAAGACCUUUAAGCUGCUCCACUCUGCCUCUGAUGACUGGGAGAAGAAGAUCGAGGGCUUGACCUCUCUCCGUGUGAUGGCUCAGAACCACAUGGACAUACUGAUGCCUAAACUCCAUGAUAUCUGCCUUGCCAUUAUAAAUGAGGUAGCUGUAUUCAUUCACUGCCCUAUUCAUUCAUCUGCACAAAUCUGCUACAUUUGGAGAACAAGCCAAAUUAUUGUGUCAUGUUUCUGA